RNAcentral lists this long non-coding RNA (798 nucleotides) under Pan troglodytes (chimpanzee). RNAcentral describes it as "lincRNA". The record is from RNAcentral. Lineage: Eukaryota; Metazoa; Chordata; Mammalia; Primates; Hominidae.
CUUUCUGGAGUCUGAAAUGUUAAGUAUGGAGGCAAAAGCUGAAGCUGGAGCAACAGUCUCAGAAUAUGACAACAACCAUGAGAAUGGAGGCCAUUCAUAGCAGAACUAUGAGACAAGAGGAGCCUAGGUCCCUGAGCUGCAGAACUGCAUACUAACCUGAUGAGAAGACUAAUGCUCAGUGAGGUGAACUCCUUCAGGGCCACAGCCUGUAAAGAUCUAAACACCAUCUGAUCCAGUUUCAAUAUGACUGCCUGGAUGAAGAAGGAUUUGAGACUAAGUUUAUUCCUCCAAAGCAAACCAACUGAGAAUGCAGAGACAGGGUCUUGCUAUGUUGCCCAGGCCAGUCUCAAACUCCUGGGCUCAAGCAAUCCACUCGCCUUGGCCUCUUAAAGCACUGGGAUUACAAGCGUGAACCACCACACCUGGCUGAAGAUUCAAGUUUGUAAAACAUCUGAUUUCCACUUGAAAGCUUGAAUUGUAUCAUUGGCAACAAAUAAUGUCAGUUAUUUUCCUUGAGAUGAAAACUUCACUUAGUUAUUACAAGAAAACUGCUGCCAUGUAGCCAACUGUGAAUGACCACAGUUUGCCUGUCAGUCAUUCUGUCAAGUAAAAUGGUGCUCCUCGAACAAAGCAGCACGUUUAGCUCACAACUCAACAACCACACAGCAGUCUUCCCCCCGCCCACCAUGGCACUUACAUUAAUAUAAGCAGCAGAGGUGCUUUAUGUAUGAGUAUUGUGCGAAAAUACUCAAAAGACCUGUAACCGAGGGUCAAGAUUACUACAAUUAAUUUCUACUG